Molecule: transfer RNA, 73 nt
Filed under: Acinetobacter phage Acj9
Lineage: Duplodnaviria; Heunggongvirae; Uroviricota; Caudoviricetes; Pantevenvirales; Straboviridae
Rfam family: tRNA
About the family: Transfer RNA (tRNA) molecules are approximately 80 nucleotides in length. Their secondary structure includes four short double-helical elements and three loops (D, anti-codon, and T loops). Further hydrogen bonds mediate the characteristic L-shaped molecular structure. tRNAs have two regions of fundamental functional importance: the anti-codon, which is responsible for specific mRNA codon recognition, and the 3' end, to which the tRNAs corresponding amino acid is attached (by aminoacyl-tRNA synthetases). tRNAs cope with the degeneracy of the genetic code in two manners: having more than one tRNA (with a specific anti-codon) for a particular amino acid; and 'wobble' base-pairing, i.e. permitting non-standard base-pairing at the 3rd anti-codon position.
Source: Rfam by way of RNAcentral
GCCAUCAUAGCUCAGUUGGUAGAGCAGCGGUUUUGUAAUCCGAAGGUCGUAGGUUCGAUUCCUACUGAUGGCA